RNAcentral lists this long non-coding RNA (396 nucleotides) under Durio zibethinus. RNAcentral's name for it is "long non-coding RNA (DZIB_LNC002016)". Lineage: Eukaryota; Viridiplantae; Streptophyta; Magnoliopsida; Malvales; Malvaceae. The record is from RNAcentral.
GAGUCGAGCUCGAGCUUAAGUUUAUCAUUAUAUCGACUUGACUCGAUUACACCCCUAAGUGCUACCUCUGCUAUUAAACUUAAAUAAUUUUAAAUCUUAAUUUUCCGUUAGAAGCAAUUUAAAAAAAAAAAAAAAAAAAAAAAAGGGAGAAUAAAAAAAUCUGGGUUUUCUCGUCGUUAGGAGUCCGUAUCCAUAUGUGGUUCAAAACCUAGGGAAGGAGAAUAGAGUUGUAAAUUGUAAUUGUGCUUAUCUCGGUAACUCAACUCAGGCAGCUCUACCUGUUCCGGAGCGAGCGUAAGUGGGGCAACGCAUUUUCCUCGUCGUCCCAAUCCCAAACUUGUAAUUCCCAGCUAGGAAAUGUCUCACUCUCACAAAUUGGUCAUCAAGUAAUAAUUA